Molecule: ribosomal RNA, 482 nt
Filed under: uncultured bacterium
Lineage: Bacteria
Description: bacterial SSU rRNA
Rfam family: Bacterial small subunit ribosomal RNA
Source: RNAcentral
UUGAACGCUGGCGGCAUGCUUUACACAUGCAAGUCGAACGGCAGCGGGGGCUUCGGCCUGCCGGCGAGUGGCGAACGGGUGAGUAAUGCAUCGGAACGUGCCCAGUCAUGGGGGAUAACUACGCGAAAGCGUAGCUAAUACCGCAUACGCCCUGAGGGGGAAAGCGGGGGAUCGCAAGACCUCGCGUGAUUGGAGCGGCCGAUGUCGGAUUAGGUAGUUGGUGGGAUAAAAGCUUACCAAGCCGACGAUCUGUAGCUGGUCUGAGAGGACGACCAGCCACACUGGGACUGAGACACGGCCCAGACUCCUACGGGAGGCAGCAGUGGGGAAUUUUGGACAAUGGGCGAAAGCCUGAUCCAGCCAUGCCGCGUGCAGGAUGAAGGCCUUCGGGUUGUAAACUGCUUUUGUACGGAACGAAAAGACUCCUUCUAAUAAAGGGGGCUCAUGACGGUACUGUAAGAAUAAGCACCGGCUAACUACGU